CCUACGGGCGGCAGCAGUCGAGAAUCAUUCACAAUGGGGGAAACCCUGAUGGUGCGACGCCGCGUGGGGGAAUGAAGGUCUUCGGAUUGUAAACCCCUGUCAUGUGGGAGCAAAUUAAAAAGAUAGUACCACAAGAGGAAGAGACGGCUAACUCUGUGCCAGCAGCCGCGGUAAUACAGAGGUCUCAAGCGUUGUUCGGAAUCACUGGGCGUAAAGCGUGCGUAGGGUGUUUCGUAAGUCGUGUGUGAAAGGCGCGGGCUCAACCCGCGGACGGCACAUGAUACUGCGAGACUAGAGUAAGGGAGGGGGAACCGGAAUUCUCGGUGUAGCAGUGAAAUGCGUAGAUAUCGAGAGGAACACUCGUGGCGAAGGCGGGUUCCUGGACAUUAACUGACGCUGAGGCACGAAGGCCAGGGGAGCGAAAGGGAUUAGAUACCCUUGUAGUC
This 446-nucleotide ribosomal RNA is filed under the name uncultured bacterium. RNAcentral's name for it is "partial 16S ribosomal RNA". It matches the Rfam family "Bacterial small subunit ribosomal RNA", at positions 338 to 795 of the family's 1533-position model. The record is from RNAcentral.